AUUGAACGCUGGCGGCAGGCCUAACACAUGCAAGUCGAGCGGAUGAAGGGAGCUUGCUCCUGGAUUCAGCGGCGGACGGGUGAGUAAUGCCUAGGAAUCUGCCUGGUAGUGGGGGAUAACGUCCGGAAACGGGCGCUAAUACCGCAUACGUCCUGAGGGAGAAAGUGGGGGAUCUUCGGACCUCACGCUAUCAGAUGAGCCUAGGUCGGAUUAGCUAGUUGUUGGGGUAAAGGCCUACCAAGGCGACGAUCCGUAACUGGUCUGAGAGGAUGAUCAGUCACACUGGAACUGAGACACGGUCCAGACUCCUAAGGGAGGCAGCAGUGGGGAAUAUUGGACAAUGGGCGAAAGCCUGAUCCAGCCAUGCCGCGUGUGUGAAGAAGGUCUUCGGAUUGUAAGGCACUUUAAGUUGGGAGGAAGGGCAGUAAGUUAAUACCUUGCUGUUUUGACGUUACCAACAGAAUAAGCACCGGCUAACUUCGUG
Molecule: ribosomal RNA, 484 nt
Filed under: uncultured bacterium
Lineage: Bacteria
Description: partial 16S ribosomal RNA
Rfam family: Bacterial small subunit ribosomal RNA
Source: RNAcentral